AUUGAACGCUGGCGGCAGGCCUAACACAUGCCAGUCGAGCGGAUGAAGGGAGCUUGCUCCUGGAUUCAGCGGCGGACGGGUGAGUAAUGCCUAGGAAUCUGCCUGGUAGUGGGGGAUAACGUCCGGAAACGGGCGCUAAUACCGCAUACGUCCUGAGGGAGAAAGUGGGGGAUCUUCGGACCUCACGCUAUCAGAUGAGCCUAGGUCGGAUUAGCUAGUUGGUGGGGUAAAGGCCUACCAAGGCGACGAUCCGUAACUGGUCUGAGAGGAUGAUCAGUCACACUGGAACUGAGACACGGUCCAGACUCCUACGGGAGGCAGCAGUGGGGAAUAUUGGACAAUGGGCGAAAGCCUGAUCCAGCCAUGCCACGUGUGUGAAGAAGGUCUUCGGAUUGUAAAGCACUUUAAGUUGGGAGGAAGGGCAGUAAGUUAAUACCUUGCUGUUUUGACGUUACCAACAGAAUAAGCACCGGCUAACUUCGUG
RNAcentral lists this ribosomal RNA (484 nucleotides) under uncultured bacterium. Its description in RNAcentral is "partial 16S ribosomal RNA". It matches the Rfam family "Bacterial small subunit ribosomal RNA", at positions 30 to 507 of the family's 1533-position model. The record is from RNAcentral.